RNAcentral lists this ribosomal RNA (2415 nucleotides) under Triticum aestivum (bread wheat). Its description in RNAcentral is "partial small subunit ribosomal RNA". Lineage: Eukaryota; Viridiplantae; Streptophyta; Magnoliopsida; Poales; Poaceae. The record is from RNAcentral.
AUGGCUCAAGGGGUGGCUGCGGGCGGAGGAUCAAGCACGGCUGCAGGCGCCGGAGCAAGCACCGCGGCGGACGGCGACCCAGGCACGGCGAACGGCGACCAAGGCGGGGCUAGGGAUGGCUCAUCGGUGAGGUCCGCUGCUGGCGGCCAUGGCGCGGCUAUGCAGCACUUGCCGGUGAGCUCAGCUGCGGGCGCAGGCCAUGGCGAUGCUGCGGCCGGUGCAGGCCAUGGCGAUGCUGCAAGGUUGGGCGUGGAUGCGGUCUUGGGCCACGGUGCGGCUGCAGACUUAGAAGGGAUGGAUCCAAAUUCUUGUUAUGUGCUGAAAAUUAGAUUGCUUGGCAACCCAAAAAAAGCUAGAAAAGAGGCCAUGUGUUUUUAUUUCGAGAAGGUUAUUGAUUCCGACUUGACAAAUUAUGAAGAUUUGGUUGAAUCAAUUAUAGUGCAGUACCGGCCACGUUAUUUGGAAGUUGCGCAUGUUCACUACUAUGAUGAAGUUCUGAAAACGUUUCCAGAAAUAAAAUCAGACCAAGAGUUGAUGUAUAUGUUUGAGAAACACGCUAAGUCAAAGAUGGUGCAAAUGUUCAUUGUAUAUUGGGAACCCUCUGAACCAUAUGAGCCUAUCAUUGAGUAUUAUAGUGAUGUGCAUAUCCAACCUAAGAACAACGUAGACCAAGAUGAUGAUAGUUAUCUUCGCAACCCAAUACCGGAGAAUGAACAUGUUGGGAUUGAUGAAGAGAAUAUAUAUUUGAAGGAAGAACCUAAAGCUCUAAAUGUGGUUCUUUUUCCUGAUAAAGAAAAGGACCAAGACUAUGUUGUUGAUGGUGAGAGUGAGGAUGAGAGUGAGGAUGGGAGUGAGGAUGAGAGCGAGGACGAGACUGAAGUAGAGGAGGAUGAGGAGUUGCACGAGGUGAAAAAACCUUUUGGUCAUGAUUCCUCUAGUGCAAGAAGGAAAAAGAAGGUGAAGAAUGCAACUAAGUACUGGAUUGUGAGAAGGGUGCAGGUUACGGCAGUGGCGCACGGGCAGGGGCACUGCAAUGUAUAUGCGGUCUUUGGGGACAGCAGGAUGGUUUGGCUUCUCGAUGAUCACUGGGACCAUCAACACCGGUCGUACGCUAUGGCGGUGCAGCAGCGGGAGCUUGCACCUCUGAAGCUUCGGUCUCACGGGAUCAGCCUUGGAGGGAUGAGCUAUGAUGAGCGGUACACACCUUAUUUGGACGAUGCCAGUUGUAGGCACACUGGAGGUAUUGGUGGUUGUCUGCUCGCACUUUCCAUAUGGAGCUGGGAGCGUUUGCCGGUUGGACGACCUAAGACCGUGAAGUACGAGGAUUGGGACGAUAAAGACGACCCACUACGGCUCCCCACUUGGGCUUACAAGUGGGAUGUGUUAAAUGAGACGACGGAUGAUCCCUCUAUAAUGUACAAGUUGUACAAGAGCGAGCUGGACGCCAUCACGCCUGAGCAGGUGGAAUGGGAGCCGUAUGGAAAAGGAGAGAGUUUUGGUAACCCUAUAGAGUUCAGGCUUAAUCCGAUGUGCAUUAGGGAUAGGGAUCUCUGGCAUAUGCAGUGCCCACUGAUAUGCAACUGGGCGGUUGAGCUUCACCUGCCACAUCGGGUGUUCCGGCAGUUUGGUUUGUUCCAGUCACACCCGCCGGAGUGGGAGGACACGGACAAGUUGCUACACGCGUUGGAUAGGAAAAAGCAGCGGAAGAUCAAGGAUUGGGCCAGCCAUCACAGGAAGUAUGUCGUGCAGUUCGCUCUUAGUGUGGAGCAAGCAAGGGCUGGAAAACGAGCCCAGCUUCGUGAGCACUGCCCGGAUGCGUUCAACAACUAUCUCACAUGGUUUCUUGCAAGUACCCGCGUGGAGGUAUGCCAGCCCGCGUAUGCUGAGGAGAUUCUGGAGGAACCAACCGUUUUUGAUGAGCAGCGCCAGGGCCAAAAGUUAAGGCGGCUAUCAAACCUUUUCGGUUGUCGUGACCCCGAGUAUGUAUCACCUGAACGGUCUAGGUCGGCGACACCAUCAGAUCCCGCUUCGGGGCAGAGCCAUGGUGAACCUUUCACGGAUGAGGAUGUGGGUGGGGUCACCCAAGAGGUUGCUGAUGAUAUGACCUUGGGGACGUACCGGGCUCGGUCUGCAUACGAGUUGAAGCCUAGGAGGGGAAUCAACAAGUACACACCUGAAGACUUCACCCAAAGAGGCAAAAGGACGGUGGGCACCUCGCGGAUGGCGGCUUUGGAUGACUAUUUGGAUGACGAUGUCGAACCGGAGGCGGAGCCGGAGCCGGAGCGUGUUCCUCUUCCUAGGAAGGUGAAGAAGAUAAGCGUCAAGAGGGGGGAGGACCCAGCAAGCGUGGAAAGCACUAGUCAUCUUAGUUUUUUUAUAAUGUUGAACUUCGAGUGCGAUUUGUUAUGUCGUUGA